This 381-nucleotide ribosomal RNA is filed under the name uncultured marine Chaetocerotaceae. RNAcentral describes it as "SSU rRNA". It matches the Rfam family "Eukaryotic small subunit ribosomal RNA", at positions 587 to 972 of the family's 1831-position model. Lineage: Eukaryota; Bacillariophyta; Thalassiosirophyceae; Chaetocerotales; Chaetocerotaceae. The record is from RNAcentral.
AGCUCCAAUAGCGUAUAUUAAAGUUGCUGCAGUUAAAAAGCUCGUAGUUGCAUUUCCGAGGCAAGGGAUUAGUCCGACCUUUGGUGGGUAUUUAAUCCUCUUGCCUCGUCCUUGAGUGGUGCUUCUUGGUAUUAAGUUAUCGAGGAGAUAGCCGCUCAUCGUUUACUGUGAGAAAAUUAGAGUGUUCAAAGCAGGCUUAUGCCGUUGAAUAUAUUAGCAUGGAAUAAUAAGAUAGGACCUCGGUACUAUUUUGUUGGUUUGAGAACCAAGGUAAUGAUGAAUAGGGACAGUUGGGGGUAUUCGUAUUCAGUGGUCAGAGGUGAAAUGCUUAGAUUUACGGAAGACGAACUACUGCGAAAGCAUUUACCAAGGAUGUUUUCA